AACGCACAUUGCGCCCUUUGGUAUUCCGAAGGGCAUGCCUGUUCGAGCGUCAUUAUCACCCCUCAAGCCCCGUGCUUGGUGUUGGACGGCCGGUCGAGCGAUCGACCCCUCCCAAAGACAAUGACGGCGGCCUGCGGUUCCCCCGGUACACUGAGCUUUUCAUCGAGCACGUACCGGACAAGGGCACCCGGGACCCGGUCUUCUCCCUUCACCGGGAAAUUUUUUACGGUUGACCUCGGAUCAGGUAGGAAUACGCGCUGAACUUAA
Molecule: unclassified non-coding RNA, 267 nt
Filed under: uncultured fungus
Lineage: Eukaryota; Fungi
Description: sequence contains ITS2
Rfam family: 5.8S ribosomal RNA (bases 1-52)
Source: RNAcentral